Molecule: ribosomal RNA, 468 nt
Filed under: uncultured bacterium
Lineage: Bacteria
Description: partial 16S ribosomal RNA
Rfam family: Bacterial small subunit ribosomal RNA
Source: RNAcentral
GACGAACGCUGGCGGCGUGCUUAACACAUGCAAGUCGAACGGAAAGGCCCUGCUUUUGUGGGGUGCUCGAGUGGCGAACGGGGGAGUAACACGUGAGUAAACUGCCCUUGACUUUGGGAUAACUUCAGGAAACUGGGGCUAAUACAGGAUAGGAGCUCCUGAUGCAUGGUGUGGGUUGGUAAGUUUCGGCGGUUGGGGAUGGACUCGCGGCUUAUCAGCCUGUUGGUGGGGUAGUGGCUUACCAAGGCUUUGACGGGUAGCCGGCCUGAGAGGGGGACCGGCGACAUUGGGACUGAGAUACGGCCCAGACUGCUACGGGAGGCAGCGGUGGGGAGUAUUGCAGAAUGAGCGGAAGCGUGAGGCAGCGACGCCGCGUGCGUGAUGACGGCCUUCGGGUUGUAAACCGCUGUCGCCUGUGACGAGGCGUGAGUGACGGUAAUGGGUAAAGAAGCACCGGCUAACUACGUG